Molecule: RNA transcript, 1713 nt
Organism: Magnolia sinica
Lineage: Eukaryota; Viridiplantae; Streptophyta; Magnoliopsida; Magnoliales; Magnoliaceae
Exons: 14
Source: RefSeq, a predicted model, not a curated record
AAGGGAAAACAUUAGAAGAUGUAUAGGAAGAAGAGCUGAUUCGACGAUGUUGCCUUCUUCUUCUCUUCAUCUUAACCGUUCGAUCUUCGCAUGCUUGAAUAAUGGGGGGCGCAAAGGGCUCGAUCAUAGCCUGCGAAAAGGGCACAAAAACUGUAGGGUAUUGAUAAUGGGAGGAACGGGAAGAGUUGGAGGAUCGACAGCCAGGACGCUAUCCAAGCUCUGCCCUGAUCUCCGAAUCCUCAUUGGUGGUAGAAACAGAGAGAAGGGUGCUGCUCUAGUGUCUACGCUUGGUGAAAAUUCGGAGUUUGUUGAAGUCAACAUUGAUAAUGUAAACACAUUGGAAGCAGCUUUAAAUGAUGUGGAUCUUGUAGUUCAUGCAGCGGGGCCUUUUCAGCGUGCAGAUAAGUGCACUGUACUGGAAGCUGCAAUUUCUACCAAGACAGCCUAUGUGGAUGUGUGUGAUGAUACAAUCUAUGCAUGCCGUGCAAAAUCUUUUCAUGAGAAGGCGGUAGCUGCUGAUGUUCCGGCUAUAACAACUGGUGGAAUUUACCCUGGAGUCAGCAAUGUGAUGGCAGCUGAGUUGGUUCGCUCUGCAAAAAAUGAAAGCAUGGGUGAGCCAGAGAGGUUAAGAUUCUUUUAUUAUACAGCAGGUUCUGGUGGUGUUGGUCCAACUAUAUUAGCGACUAGUUUCCUGCUGCUUGGAGAAGAUGUUAUUGCUUACAAUAAAGGAGAAAAAAUCAAACUAAAGCCUUACAGUGGAAUGCUCAACAUUGAUUUUGGAAAAGGGAUUGGAAAGAGAGAUGUUUAUUUGUUAAACCUACCUGAAGUAAAAAGUGCUCAUGAAGUCUUAGGCGUGCCAACUGUCAGUGCUAGAUUUGGUACUGCACCUUUCUUCUGGAAUUGGGGCAUGGAAGCUAUUGCAAAUCUUGUUCCUGUGGAAUUUCUAAGAGACAAAAGCAAAGUCCAGCAGUUGGUUCAAAUCUUUGACCCUCUUGUUCGAGCUGUUGAUGGGAUUGCAGGAGAGCGCGUGUCAAUGAGAGUUGAUUUAGAGUGUUCAAAUGGACGCAGUACUACGGGUAUAUUCAGUCACAAAAGACUCUCUUUAUCAGUUGGAUCUGCAACGGCAGCAUUCGCAUUGGCAGUUCUUGAGGGAAGCACAGAGCCUGGUGUUUGGUACCCAGAAGAGAAGGAAUUGCAAUCGAGGCAAGACAAUUACUUCUCGAACGUGCAGCACAAGGAACAAUCAAUUUUGUCAUGAACAAGCCUCCAUGGAUGGUGGAGACGGAUCCAAAAGAGAUUGGAUUGGGAAUAUACGUAUGAGGGCGGGCCACGAUCAGCUAGAGCCACCCAGGCACAGAUGAGGUUCUGCUUUUGCUUCUCCAUUUCCACACUCAACUGGCACAGUGCUAAUUUUUUGUCGAGAGGAGAAUUUACUCGACCCUUCACCAGUGGAGAGGACAUGCACUCACGGCCUAAUGUCCCCACCUUCAUGAGUUUUGAAAGCUCUGCAGCAGUUGAGUGGGCAACCGAUGUACAUUCUAACAACCUCUCAUAUGAUUCUUUGCUCCCCCAAGGUACCUUUUCUAUUCAGGGUUGAUAUCAAGAGAUGGAUUAAUGGAAUUUCAAAUACAUUGCUGACAGUUGUACACCAUGUUCUCAGUACACUUCCACCAUCUAGGAUACAAGCAAGAAAUCAUCAUGCUUACUUCUUCA